AAGUCGUAACAAGGUUUCCGUAGGUGAACCUGCGGAAGGAUCAUUAACACAAAAUCUAAGAAGAGACCAUAGAAAUAUGUGUCUCAUCUUAUACUAUCCACCCGUGGUCUUGUUUCGUACCUCUGUAUGGAGGUUGAUCCAUGAAUGUUAGUGGGACCGAUGGUCAUACCGGAGUAAAUUAUUACCAUUCUCAUUCGUGGCCUGUAUCUUUCUAUUUUCUGAUCGAUUUAUACCUUGCACUGAUAUCCAUAUGCACACGAAAGUGUGUGUAUGUUUAUUGACCUCGUGUCAAUAAAACCAUAUACAACUCGUAACAACGGAUCUCUCGGCUAAU
This 334-nucleotide unclassified non-coding RNA is filed under the name fungal sp. RNAcentral describes it as "partial internal transcribed spacer region". The stretch from base 1 to 46 matches the Rfam family "Eukaryotic small subunit ribosomal RNA", at positions 1786 to 1831 of the family's 1831-position model. The record is from RNAcentral. Lineage: Eukaryota; Fungi.